UUAAUAGAUUUAUGGGUAAAGUGAUAAGAAUGAUGUUUGAUUCCUGUUUUCAAAUUGUUGAGAUUUGGGGUUGUGUAUGCAGGAGGUCUUAUCCUGUGCAGGAGUGCAAGCUCAAAUUUGUUAUUGUUCGGAAAAUUUGAGGUAUUAUUUAUCCCGACGAUUAGGACACUUGUACAGUAGGCAUAAAUGCUAAUGCUAAAUAUUCAAAUCUAAAGUUGCAGGUCACAUCUCAAUUAUGUUGACCUCGAUAGGUUUCUAUACAGUGUUUUGACGAAAAAUGAUGAACUGACUACAGUAGCAACUGUAAGGUUGCAGGCUACUUCGGUUCGGUUUAAACCACGGCCUUCGCUUUAUUUUUGUGUUCUGGUUUGCCUUUUAUACUUGGUCCAUGGAGCAUUUAACACUAUUGGUUAGCGCCGUUACUGUCCAAUUUUGUUUAUACCAUAUGAAUUCUGAGGAGAUAUGAAGCUCAGGAAGCAGAUGACCAGCCAUAGUAUUGGUCAACAUGAUAGACUUAUAGUUAAGCAAAUAAUAAAGUUCAGUUAGAUAGAAACCAAUAUAAUAAAGUUCAUGUUAGAUAGAAACCAAUAUAAUAAAGUUCAUGUUAGAUAGAAACCAAUAUAAUAAAGUUCACUUUCCUACCCAAAUAUGUUUCUCUUGUGGCUCUAUAGUCAAAUUACUCAAGGCUGCACACAUAGAGAAAGUUUGCCAAAGAUAUGAGAUAUGGGCUGUCUUUGACAGUUGAAAGCGCAGAAUGCAUCAAAAUAGGACAGGGGCCAGAAAGGAAAGAGCCUUUCUUUUGCUUAUUACUAACUAAAUAUGCUACUGGUAGAUGCCGAACAAAGAAAAUUGGAGUAUAAAUAAAUAAAAUUUCACUAAUAAAGAAUCUAGGAUAUUAAACAUAGAGUUUUCUUAGGCUGAAGAGACCAGUGCUCCUUUGGUAAAAUCCGGUUCAAUUAUUUAUGGAUUUGCAGACAUGCUGUCUUUAAUCAAAGGCACAUCUUGAGGAAUUAACUUUUGGUUGUAUCUGAUAUCUCUUCCGGGUAAUGUAGUUAAUUAUGGCAUUACUUAACGAUUUAUCAAUUGAAUAGAAAAUUUCACAUGGGUUCAGGUAGGUUUUUUGGUCUGAGUUCAUGGAAAUGGAGAUCCAUGUGAGCUAAAUGAUUGGUUUUGAUUGGUAGAAACCAGUAUUUUAAUAUGCUUUUCUUAGUCGAUGCAGAUAUGGUUCGCUUUUCCCCUUUUGUUCUUUCUUGGCCUUAAACUUUCACCUUAGAUUUGUUUUCCUCGUGAGAAUUCACUUUCACUUAUGGCUAUGGAUACUCUGAGUACAUUGAUACCGACACUAAGAAAGGGAAAUAUUUGAUAGUUAAGUAAACUGGAAAAGUAUAGUUGAGGUUAAUUAGUUUGUUUUAUGUUCCUUCUAAUUCAAUAAGGUUGUUUCUUGCCAUUUCAAAGCAUAGUGGAUUACUCAAAUCUCAUUAACUUUGUCAAAUGUGGGAUCACAAUUUUUGGCAUCCUCCAGAAUGAUUCCUAAGAAGGUUCAUUAUACAAGCAACACACUCGCACGCUUUAAGGAAGAAAGCAAGAAAGUAAAUGAGGUCAUUCUAUCUACUACUAGGCAAACAUUUAUCAGAAUUAUGCAGGGUUGAAUACCCAUGGUUUGUUAAAUACUGUUUGUGGUUGCUAGCUGAAGUUGUUGUUAUAGCUGCAGAUAUUCCUGAAGGCAAGACUUUCUAUCCUUCUAACUAAUUAUUAAUUAAACAUACCUUUGUAAAAAUGUAAAAGUGUUUUGUGGAUGUUUUGUAAAUGUUGAAGUACUUUAAUAUUGUAGACUAGGUCAAUGUUUUGUGGAUGUUUGUAAAGGUUGGAGUAGUUUAAUGUCUUUUGUGAAUGUUUUAAUGA
Molecule: long non-coding RNA, 1902 nt
Organism: Lycium ferocissimum
Lineage: Eukaryota; Viridiplantae; Streptophyta; Magnoliopsida; Solanales; Solanaceae
Exons: 4
Source: RefSeq, a predicted model, not a curated record